Triticum urartu is the source of this 2014-nucleotide non-coding RNA. The record is from RefSeq and is a predicted model, not a curated record. Lineage: Eukaryota; Viridiplantae; Streptophyta; Magnoliopsida; Poales; Poaceae.
UCCUUCCUUUCCUUCUCUGAGAAGGCAAGGCAGCUCACUUCUUCGUCUCUCUUUCCCCUUGAGUCAAACACGCCGCCUCCUCUCCCCUUCCCUCACAGACUCCUCGCCGUCGCUCCCUCUCUUCCCAAGCCUCGUGGUCCUCCCCCUCUCCCUGCAGCCGACGCGCGGAUCCAUCCGGGAGGAGGCACAUGAUUCGAGCAGGGCUGGUCGCCGUCAUGCGCCCGCUUCAUCGUCAUGGUUGUCCCCGUGCUCCCCAAGAAAAGGAUUGGCGAGCGGCCCAGCCCCCAGAUCACAUCCCCCGAUUCCUUCCCCUUUCCCUCAUGUACCGCACACACGGGCAACCGCUCGAGGAGAGCAGCAGCGGCUGGAUGCGGCCGCUGGCAGAGCAGCAGUGAUCGACAGGCUCAGCAGCGACCGGAAGGAGAAGCAGCAGCCGACGGCGGCGGACCAGAUCGGUUGCUGCUAUGCCCCACGCGACGGCCGUGAAUGGGGAGGAUGAGGGCGUGGUGGAUUACAUGGAGAAAGGAGGCGGCGGCGGAGCAACGGGGUGGGGACGAGGGGCGUGGGGUUGGAGAUCCUCCACGGGCUCAUCGGGCUGGUGAGGUCGCAGCUGCCGGCCACGCCGCGGAAGAUCAGGUCGUGCCUCUUCGUCAUCUGGGGCAUUCUCUGGAGCUUCUCCGAGGUGCCCGGUGUUUCCCAUAACCAGGAUACACAUCCUAGUGAGCUCCUUGGUCAUCAGGUGGGACAACACUGAGGACAAGGGCAGUUCAAAAAUUGAUAGAGACUCUUAAGGUCAUGAAGCAGAUAGUGCUCAUUAUUUCGGCCCUACAACCAGGCUUCAUACAUCUUGUUAAUGACCUUAAUGGUAAUUAUGUCAUACAGAAGUGCUUGUCAAACUUUGGUGCAGAGGAGAACAAGAAUCCUCGAUAUGGUAUGGAUUUCCUGUAAACAGAGUUUGUACCCAAAGAUGUGUUGAUGGUUCCCUAUCACAAAAGGUUUUCUAAUUUUCCUUUGUCCACACUAAUUGAUUUUAUUCAAUGUACGAUAUGGUAUGGAUUUCCUAUAAACAGCGUUUGUUCCAGUGCUACCUCAUUGCAGGAAGUUAGGCUCACUUGAUUGCCAUUGUUGUACAUGUUCUUCUAAUGCUUAAGAAAUGGAACUAAAUUGUACUGAGUCAUUCGACUACCAAAAAUAUCAAUGGCCUUUUUGUCUAUAGAAGAGGUUCUGACAUACCAGAAUUUAAAUUUAAUCAUAUAGUGUAUAAUUUGUUCGGGAAUGAUUUUAUAUGUUCAAAUCUCGUUCAGUUUGGUGGUUGUUUUAUUGUUUCUGCAGUAAGCUUUAUUAGACUCCUCAAAUUUAAUUGAGCCCAUGGUUAUGAAUUCAUAGUAUACUUGAUAUAGGGUAAUAGUGAAUGUCUUUUAGAUCAGACGAUCAGUACGUUCAAAAGAACAUCAACUGAGUGAAAGUUCAUUUCUUUAGAGCAUUUUUUUAUAAUGCGCCAUUAGGUAUUUGCCAAUUGCCUUAAUUUUUCUUUAUGCACUAGGCCCUUGGCAUUCUUAGAAGGUCGUUCCAUAAUUUCUGUGAUUCAUCCCUCUGUAUGUGGCUUGAAAUGGAGGCUUGCAUGCCCAAGGCGGGUGGUUAAAGCCCUCUUUUAUUGGUGUGGCACUGGUGAGUACAAUGCAUGAUGCAGCAGCUGGAGACGUGGCCAACAGCACUUAGGAAGCGCCCCGCCUGUGAAGUGAUACGUAUGAUGCCAACAUACCAAGAGUGCAGGUACCAACUAUCCUGCUUCAAUGAACUAUGGCUAUGAAGGAAAUUUCCUACUAGAAACAUAUGCAAUGUUUCGUUAUCUGUGUCCAUCUAACUGUCAAAAUCAUCUCUGCAAUGCAAAGUGGACUGUGUAAUACUUCUUGAAGAGGCAAUGCUUGUUAUCUGUAUGAAAGUUUCUAACUGCAUUGGCAGGAGAAAAGUUCAGUUUAUGUUAGUGUAAUCUUCAAUAUAUCAUUUUUGCUCC